UACGUAGGGUGCAAGCGUUGUCCGGAAUUACUGGGCGUAAAGGGCGCGUAGGCGGCCAUCUAAGUCAGACGUGAAAUCCCCCGGCUUAACCUGGGAACUGCGUCUGAUACUGGACGGCUUGAGUAUGGGAGAGGGAUGUAGAAUUCCAGGUGUAGCGGUGAAAUGCGUAGAUAUCUGGAGGAAUACCGGUGGCGAAGGCGGCAUCCUGGACCAUUACUGACGCUGAGGCGCGAAAGCCAGGGGAGCAAACGGG
RNAcentral lists this ribosomal RNA (253 nucleotides) under uncultured bacterium. RNAcentral's name for it is "partial 16S ribosomal RNA". It matches the Rfam family "Bacterial small subunit ribosomal RNA", at positions 524 to 776 of the family's 1533-position model. The record is from RNAcentral.